Molecule: long non-coding RNA, 146 nt
Organism: Alosa sapidissima (American shad)
Lineage: Eukaryota; Metazoa; Chordata; Actinopteri; Clupeiformes; Clupeidae
Exons: 3
Source: RefSeq, a predicted model, not a curated record
ACUCACACCAACGCAGGUGUUACCCCCCAUACGGGAGGCAUUGCGUGAUUCCAGGGCUACCGCCGCUAUUGGAGCUGGAAUUACCGCGGCUGCUGGCACCAGACUUGCCCUCCAAUGGGUCCUUGGUAAAUGAUUUAAAAUGGACG